Molecule: non-coding RNA, 30 nt
Filed under: Homo sapiens (human)
Lineage: Eukaryota; Metazoa; Chordata; Mammalia; Primates; Hominidae
Source: RNAcentral
UGCAAAAAGGGCAAGCCUGACUUUGAGGUC